AGGAAGGUCUCGUUUGUUGGUAUACGAGUUGAGCUGUAAACUCAAUGGCUAAUAGUCAUCGAAGGUUCAAUUCCUUCUCUUCCUA
Non-coding RNA from Ophidiomyces ophidiicola, 85 nucleotides. The record is from the annotation of a RefSeq genome assembly. NCBI's taxonomy places the organism in Eukaryota, Fungi, Ascomycota, Eurotiomycetes, Onygenales, Onygenaceae.